RNAcentral lists this long non-coding RNA (1409 nucleotides) under Mytilus galloprovincialis (Mediterranean mussel). The record is from RNAcentral. Lineage: Eukaryota; Metazoa; Mollusca; Bivalvia; Mytilida; Mytilidae.
UUUGUGUUUUGGUUUUUAUACGACCGCAAAAUUUGAAAAAAUUUUCGUCGUAUAUUGCUAUCACGUUGGCGUCGUCGUCUGUCGUCGUCGUCGUCGUCCGAAUACUUUUAGUUUUCGCACUCUAACUUUAGUAAAAGUGAAUGGAAAUCUAUGAAAUUUUAACACAAGGUUUAUGACCACAAAAGGAAGGUUGGUAUUGAUUUUGGGAGUUUUGGUCCCAACAUUUUAGGAAUUAGGGGCCAAAAAGGGCCCAAAUAAGCAUUUUCUUGGUUUUCGCACUAUAACUUUAGUUUAAGUUAAUAGAAAUCUAUGAAAUUUUGACACAAGGUUUAUGACCACAAAAGAACGGUUGGGAUUGAUUUUGGGAGUUUUGGUUUCAACAGUUUAGGAAUAAGGGGCCAAAAAAGGGCCCAAAUAAGCAUUAUUCUUGGUUUUCGCACAAUAACUUUAGUUUAAGUAAAUAGAAAUCAAUGAAAUUUAAACACAAUGUUAAUGACUACAAAAGGAAGGUUGGUAUUGAUUUUGGGAGUUUAGGUCCCAACAGUUUAGGAAUUAGGGGCCAAAAAGGGACCCAAAUAAGCAUUUUUCUUGGUUUUCGCACCAUAACGUUAGUAUAAGUAAAUAGAAAUCUAUGAAAUUUAAACACAAGGUUUAUGACCAUAAAAGGAAGGUUGGUAUUGAUUUUGGGAGUUUUGGUCCCAACAGAAUAAGGGGCCCAAAGGGUCCAAAAUUAAACUUUGUUUGAUUUCAUCAAAAUUGAAUAAUUGGGGUUCUUUGAUAUGCCGAAUCUAACUGUCAUGACUGUGUAUGUAGAUUCUUAACUUUUGGUCCCGUUUUCAAAUUGGUCUACAUUAAGGUCCAAAGGGUCCAAAAUUAAACUUAGUUUGAUUUUGACAAAAAAUGAAUCAGUUAGGUUCUUUGAUAUGCUGAAUCUAAAAAUGUACUUAGAUUCUUGAUUAUUGGCCCAGUUUUCAAGUUGGUCCAAAUCGGGGUCCAAAAUUAAACUUUGUUUGAUUUCAUCAAAAAUUGAAUAAAUGGGGUUCUUUGAUAUACCAAAUCUAACUGUGUAUGUAGAUUCUUCAUUUUUGGUCCUGUUUUCAAAUUGGUCUACACUAAAGUCCAAAGGGUCCAAAAUUAAACUUAGUCUGAUUUUAACAAAAAUUGAAAUCUUGGGGUUCUUUGAUAUGCUGAAUCCAAAAAUGUACUUAGAUUUUUUAUUAUGGGCCCAGUUUUCAAGUUGGUCCAAAUCAGGAUCUAAAAUUAUUAUAUUAAGUAUUGUGCAAUAGCAAGUCUUUUCAAUUGCACAGUAUUGCGCAAUGGCAAGAAAUAUCUAAUUGCACAAUAUUGUGAAAUAGCAAUUUUUUUUUUAAUUAGAGUUAUCUUUCUUUGUCCAGAAUAGUAAGCAAGAA